RNAcentral lists this ribosomal RNA (450 nucleotides) under uncultured bacterium. Its description in RNAcentral is "partial 16S ribosomal RNA". It matches the Rfam family "Bacterial small subunit ribosomal RNA", at positions 354 to 796 of the family's 1533-position model. The record is from RNAcentral.
GUGGGGAAUUUUGGACAAUGGGGGCAACCCUGAUCCAGCCAUGCCGCGUGCGGGAAGAAGGCCUUCGGGUUGUAAACCGCUUUUGUCAGGGAAGAAAUCCUUUGGGUUAAUACCUCGGAGGGAUGACGGUACCUGAAGAAUAAGCACCGGCUAACUACGUGCCAGCAGCCGCGGUAAUACGUAGGGUGCGAGCGUUAAUCGGAAUUACUGGGCUUAAAGCGUGCGCAGGCGGUUUUGUAAGAUCGAUGUGAAAUCCCCGGGCUCAACCUGGGAACUGCAUUGGUGACUGCAAGGCUGGAGUGCGGCAGAGGGGGAUGGAAUUCCGCGUGUAGCAGUGAAAUGCGUAGAUAUGCGGAGGAACACCGAUGGCGAAGGCAAUCCCCUGGGCCUGCACUGACGCUCAUGCACGAAAGCGUGGGGAGCAAACAGGAUUAGAUACCCCUGUAGUCC